AUGGCGCGGGCGGCACACAACGUCUUGAAGAAGUCAGUUUUCCGGUGCAUCGCCGUGCUGCGCACGGUGGUGGCCGCCACUAUGACCGUGCUCAUGGCCGUGGUCAUCAUGUUCGCCGUCGGGGAGAUCCACCGCCCCAAAGGCCUCACCCUCUGGAUCGUCGGCGGCUCCGUCUCGGUGCGGCGAAGCGGUAACCUGACCGAGCCGUUCAACCCGAGCAUCGUCGGCCACAACCUAACCUUCAGCUACAUUGUCCGUGCCGUCAACCCCAGCAGCAGCAUCCGCAUCUUCUACACCGAUGUGAGGGCCCAUCUCCUCGGCAGGAACUCGUCGUCAACGAUGAAGAGCUUCUUGACAAUGACAAUAUUCCCCUCCAUGGACGUGGAGCACCAGUCCACGUUGGAAACUAUAGUUGAGAAGACCACCCAUAUGGAGUUACCGCACGUCCAGCGGUUCUACUUCGAGACGCUCGCCAACGGCAGCAGCAUCGCUGGCGGGUUGUUGAACAUCAUCGGCACCCGCAUCGUCCAGAAUGUUUACACCGGGCGCAACAUGACCGGCAUACGAGCCGUCUACUACUGCACGCCCAUCACCAUUGGCGGUGGUGAGGACGUCGAGCAUAGAUGCGCGGUCGACUUAGCAUGCAGGGAGGAUGCGCCGAUUAUCGUUGGUUUGGAAUGA
Molecule: ribosomal RNA, 681 nt
Filed under: Triticum aestivum (bread wheat)
Lineage: Eukaryota; Viridiplantae; Streptophyta; Magnoliopsida; Poales; Poaceae
Description: partial small subunit ribosomal RNA
Source: RNAcentral